GAUGAACGCUGGCAGCGUGCUUAACACAUGCAAGUCGAACGGUGAAGCAGGAGCUUGCUCUUGUGGAUCAGUGGCGAACGGGUGAGUAACACGUGAGCAACCUGCCCCUGACUCUGGGAUAAGCGCUGGAAACGGCGUCUAAUACUGGAUAUGUGAUGUGACCGCAUGGUCUGCAUCUGGAAAGAAUUUCGGUUGGGGAUGGGCUCGCGGCCUAUCAGCUUGUUGGUGAGGUAAUGGCUAACCAAGGCGUCGACGGGUAGCCGGCCUGAGAGGGUGACCGGCCACACUGGGACUGAGACACGGCCCAGACUCCUACGGGAGGCAGCAGUGGGGAAUAUUGCACAAUGGGCGGAAGCCUGAUGCAGCAACGCCGCGUGAGGGAUGACGGCCUUCGGGUUGUAAACCUCUUUUAGCAGGGAAGAAGCGAAAGUGACGGUACCUGCAGAAAAAGCACCGGCUAACUACGUGCCAGCAGCCGCCGUAA
Molecule: ribosomal RNA, 484 nt
Filed under: uncultured bacterium
Lineage: Bacteria
Description: partial 16S ribosomal RNA
Rfam family: Bacterial small subunit ribosomal RNA
Source: RNAcentral